GAGAGGGGAACAGCCCAGAUCACCAGAUAAGGUCCCUAAAUUAUGAUUAAGUGUGAAAGGAUGUGGAAAUUCCUUAACAGCCGGGAGGUUGGCUUAGAAGCAGCCAUCCUUUAAAGAUAGCGUAACAGCUCACCGGUCUAACAGAGUUUCUGCGCCUAAGAUGUAACGGGGCUCAAAUCAUAUACCGAAUCUGUGGGUGUAUAAAAUUUUCGAAUUUUAUACGCGGUAGCGGAACGUUCUGUAAGCCUGUAAAGGAAUACCCGUGAGGGAUUCUGGAGGUAUCAGAAGUGCGAAUGCUGACAUAAGUAACGAUAAACGAAGUGAAAAACUUCGUCGCCGAAAAUCCAAGGGUUUCUGCGCAAGGUUAAUCCGCGCAGAGUUAGUCGGCUCCUAAGGCGAGGGCGAAAGCCGUAGUCGAUGGGAACAAGGUUAAUAUUCCUUGACCUGAUGGUAGUGACGGAUUUUGUAAGUUGUUAGUUCUUAAUGGAUUGAACUAGCUGUGAAAAAGUCCCAGGAAAUAACUCCAUCAUUAAGACCGUACCCUAAACCGACACAGGUGGGUUAAUAGAGUAUAUUUAGGCGCUUGAGAGAAUGAUGUUGAAGGAACUCGGCAAUUUGCCUCUGUAACUUCGGGAUAAAGAGGGCCUAUUUUAGGGCAACCUUUAAUAGGUGGCACAAGCCAGGGAGAAGCGACUGUUUAUCAAAAACACAGGGCUCUGCUAACACGUAAGUGGAUGUAUAGGGUCUGACGCCUGCCCGGUGCCGGAAGGUUAAUGCGAUGGGUGCAAGCUCAUUUCUGAAGCCCCGGUAAACGGCGGCCGUAACUAUAACGGUCCUAAGGUAGCGAAAUUCCUUGUCGGGUAAAUUCCGACCUGCAUGAAUGGCGUAACGAUUUCUCCGCUGUCUCCAACAUCAACUCAGUGAAAUUGAAUUCUCCGUGAAGAUGCGGAGUUCGCGUAGUUAGACGGAAAGACCCCGUGCACCUUUACUGCAACUUUACAUUGGUGUUAGGAAUAACUUGUUUAGCAUAGGAGGGAGACUUUGAAGCAAUGGCGUCAGCUGUUGUGGAGUCAUCAGUGAAAUACCUCUCUAGUUGUUCUUGAUAUCUAACUGUUUGCCGUUAUCCGGCAACAAGACAUUGUAUGGUGGGUAGUUUGACUGGGGCGGUCGCCUCCCAAAAAGUAACGGAGGCGUGCGAAGGUAAGCUCAGAACGGUCAGAAAUCGUUCGUAGAGUGCAAUGGCAUAAGCUUGCCUGACUGUGAGACUGACAAGUCAAGCAGAGUCGAAAGACGGUCAUAGUGAUCCGGUGGUUCUGAGUGGAAGGGCCAUCGCUCAACGGAUAAAAGGUACGCC
Molecule: ribosomal RNA, 1354 nt
Filed under: marine metagenome
Description: bacterial LSU rRNA
Rfam family: Bacterial large subunit ribosomal RNA
Source: RNAcentral